GUCUUCUUAGCGCAGCUGUCAGCGCGUCAGUCUCAUAAUCUCAAUGUCCUGAGUUCGAGCCUCAGAGAAGGCA
Molecule: non-coding RNA, 73 nt
Organism: Fukomys damarensis (Damara mole-rat)
Lineage: Eukaryota; Metazoa; Chordata; Mammalia; Rodentia; Bathyergidae
Source: Rfam